GACGAACGCUGGCGGCGUGCCUAAUACAUGCAAGUAGAACGCUGAAGGAGGAGCUUGCUCUUCUGGAUGAGUUGCGAACGGGUGAGUAACGCGUAGGUAACCUGCCUGGUAGCGGGGGAUAACUAUUGGAAACGAUAGCUAAUACCGCAUAACAGUAGAUGUCGCAUGACAUUUGCUUAAAAGGUGCAAUUGCACCACUACCAGAUGGAUCUGCGUUGUAUUAGCUAGUUGGUGAGGUAACGGCUCACCAAGGCAACGAUACAUAGCCGACCUGAGAGGGUGAUCGGCCACACUGGGACUGAGACACGGCCCAGACUCCUACGGGAGGCAGCAGUAGGGAAUCUUCGGCAAUGGACGGAAGUCUGACCGAGCAACGCCGCGUGAGUGAAGAAGGUUUUCGGAUCGUAAAGCUCUGUUGUAAGAGAAGAACGAGUGUGAGAGUGGAAAGUUCACACUGUGACGG
Molecule: ribosomal RNA, 463 nt
Filed under: Streptococcus sp. oral taxon 064
Lineage: Bacteria; Bacillati; Bacillota; Bacilli; Lactobacillales; Streptococcaceae
Description: bacterial SSU rRNA
Rfam family: Bacterial small subunit ribosomal RNA
Source: RNAcentral